Molecule: ribosomal RNA, 506 nt
Filed under: uncultured bacterium
Lineage: Bacteria
Description: partial 16S ribosomal RNA
Rfam family: Bacterial small subunit ribosomal RNA
Source: RNAcentral
AGUGAACGCUGGCGGUAGGCCUAACACAUGCAGGUCGAACGGCAGCACAGGAGAGCUUGCUCUCUGGGUGGCGAGUGGCGGACGGGUGAGGAAUACAUCGGAAUCUACUCUGUCGUGGGGGAUAACGUAGGGAAACUUACGCUAAUACCGCAUACGACCUACGGGUGAAAGCAGGGGGUCUUCGGACCUUGCGCGAUUGAAUGAGCCGAUGUCGGAUUAGCUAGUUGGCGGGGUAAAGGCCCACCAAGGCGACGAUCCGUAGCAGGUCUGAGAGGAUGAUCAGCCACACUGGAACUGAGACACGGUCCAGACUCCUACGGGAGGCAGCAGUGGGGAAUAUUGGACAAUGGGCGCAAGCCUGAUCCAGCCAUACCGCGUGGGUGAAGAAGGCCUUCGGGUUGUAAAGCCCUUUUGUUGGGAAAGAAAUCCAGCUGGCUAAUACCCGGUUGGGAUGACGGUACCCAAAGAAUAAGCACCGGCUAACUUCGUGCCAGCCGCCGCCGUAA